GUGAAUCAUCGAAUCUUUGAACGCAUAUUGCACUCUCUGGUAUUCCGGAGAGUAUGCCUAUUUGAGGGUCAUUUGAAGUAAUAUAAAUUCCAAGAUUUCUCGGAAUUUAAAAUGGGUUGUCCUUUUUUUGUGGUCGCCUAAAAUCCAAACCAGUCUCAUUUUCUUGGGUUGCGUGUUACUUUCGUUUCCUUCUUGACUUAACCAGGAAUAACGGG
This 215-nucleotide unclassified non-coding RNA is filed under the name Archaeospora ecuadoriana. Its description in RNAcentral is "partial contains 5.8S ribosomal RNA and internal transcribed spacer 2". The stretch from base 1 to 71 matches the Rfam family "5.8S ribosomal RNA", at positions 84 to 154 of the family's 154-position model. Lineage: Eukaryota; Fungi; Glomeromycota; Glomeromycetes; Archaeosporales; Archaeosporaceae. The record is from RNAcentral.